GCCCAUCGUUGAUCUUCUUCGACUCCGUCAUCGUCUCUUCGCGCUUAGAGGUGACUAACUUCAGCCUUUCUUAUCUUUUUCAUGUUGUUUUUGGCUUGUGAUGUUCCCAUCAUUUUUUAGCUCAAAUCCACUUUGUUAUUUUGAAUCAUUCACAUGAAUUAGUAUCCAUAUAUAUAUAUAUAUAUAUCAUAUUUCAUGGUUGACCUAGUUUUAAUAUAUUUUGCAAG
This 227-nucleotide long non-coding RNA is filed under the name Sorghum bicolor (sorghum). RNAcentral describes it as "long non-coding RNA (SBIC_LNC002173)". Lineage: Eukaryota; Viridiplantae; Streptophyta; Magnoliopsida; Poales; Poaceae. The record is from RNAcentral.